Long non-coding RNA from Megalobrama amblycephala (Wuchang bream), 1247 nucleotides. RefSeq lists it as uncharacterized. NCBI's taxonomy places the organism in Eukaryota, Metazoa, Chordata, Actinopteri, Cypriniformes, Xenocyprididae. The record is from RefSeq and is a predicted model, not a curated record. The transcript has 3 exons.
CAAUGGCCGACCAGACUCAUACGUUGGUACGCUGCCCUACUUAAUUGAAAGAAAGACAGGGAUGACAACUUCCUAGACUUUUCAGGAAGAAAUGUAGUCUGUGCAUUCAGGUAAACUCUGGCGAGAGUCAAAUUAAAAAUAAAAAGUACAAGAGGGCAACUGCCUGGAUGUUGCAAGAGGAGAUGGAGCCUGUCUGAAAUCAGCAUCAGAGGGUGAUAGUCUUAAAGUGUGAGGAACGACUGGAUUGACCCUGCUGUGCUCCUUUUCCUUCUCUAUCCAUUGUAGAGGGCCAUGGUCAAAAUAUAUAUUUUUCCUAAAAAAACUUGGGAGUGUAUUUGAAUAGUGCUCUUAAAUUUGAUAUACAGGUCAGUUCUGUGGUCAAAUCUACUUUCCUUCAUCUGAGAGCACUGGCAAAGGUGAGGGCUUUUUUGUCCUUUAAGAAUUUUGAGAGGGCCAUUUAUGCCCUGAUUACGUCAAGGCUUGAGUAUUGCAACUCACUCUAUAUAGAAAUCUGUCAAAUUUCUCUUUCAAGGCUAAAAUUGUACAAAAUGCAGCUGCUAGGCUCCUGACUUACCAAUAUGCCUACCUUAAUUUCAUUACACUGGUUGCUGGCCCACUACAAAAUUGAUUUUAAAGUUCUAGUAUAAAUCUGUCAAUGGCUUAGCAGCAUCCUAUCUCGCUGAUCUCCUGCUGGAUCAUUACUCGGGGUGUCUCUGAGAUCCUCAAACCAACUAUUAGUGGUCCAGGACCAGAUUAAAACUUAGUGAGCAUUUGCAGUAGCAGCACCAAAAUUGUGGAACAGUGUGUCUGUUAGUAUUAGAACUGCCACAACUGUAGAUAAUGUUAAAUCAAAACUCAAAUCUUAUUUGUUUUCUAUAGCUUUUAAUCAAUAAUGCCUUGUCUAUUUUAUGUGUUAUUGAGUUUUACCCUAUACCACUAUAGCACUUUGGUCAAUGGCUGUUUUAAUUGAGCUCUUUAAAUAAAGUGACAUUGACACAGUCCAUCAGGGACCAUCCUCUUUGAAAUUCAGAAAGAACCGCCUGAUUCUUGAUUUCAAAAGGACCGUCUGUAACAGUAACAGGAACAACUGGGAAAAGUCUGGGCCAUGCAGGAUGCAGAGCCUUUCUUGCUGUUCUGCUCCACUAAACCUUUUUGGAUUGUCCUAUCUCUGUCAGGUCUGUGAGAAGACUGCUAAAAGGUUGCAUUCAGCCAACUAAAGAAGAACCUAAUUUUUGGUGCAUACUCUG